CCUACGGGUGGCAGCAGUGAGGAAUAUUGGUCAAUGGGCGAGAGCCUGAACCAGCGAAGUCGCGUGAAGGAUGACGGCCCUACGGGUUGUAAACUUCUUUUGUCAGGGAGCAAUUUAGUCCACGUGUGGUCUUAGCGAGAGUACCUGAAGAAAAAGCAUCGGCUAACUCAGUGCCAGCAGCCGCGGUAAUACGUAGGAUGCGAGCGUUAUCCGGAUUUAUUGGGUUUAAAGGGUGCGUAGGCGGAAUAUCAAGUCAGCGGUAAAAAUUCGGGGCUCAACCCCGUCGUGCCGUUGAAACUGAUGUUCUUGAGUGGGAGAGAGGUAUGCGGAAUGCGUGGGGUAGCGGUGAAAUGCAGAGAUAUCACGAAGAACACCGAUUGCGAAGGCAGCAUACCGGGGCCAAACUGACGCUGAAGCACGAAAGCGUGGGUAUCGAACAGGAUUAGAUACCCCGGUAGUC
This 460-nucleotide ribosomal RNA is filed under the name uncultured bacterium. RNAcentral describes it as "partial 16S ribosomal RNA". It matches the Rfam family "Bacterial small subunit ribosomal RNA", at positions 338 to 795 of the family's 1533-position model. The record is from RNAcentral.